Long non-coding RNA from Panthera uncia (snow leopard), 1918 nucleotides. RefSeq lists it as uncharacterized. The record is from RefSeq and is a predicted model, not a curated record. The transcript has 4 exons. NCBI's taxonomy places the organism in Eukaryota, Metazoa, Chordata, Mammalia, Carnivora, Felidae.
UGAUAUCUGAGGUCCCGUUGUCUCUAGUCCUGGGAUGGAACUGGUGGUCCUCAGCUAGGGCGUCUGUCGUCUUGCCUGGGAUGUCGACCAUGAAGAAAUAAAACUUUGGGACAAGAAGUUUGUCACUUGUUUGAGGUAACCAUCUCUAAAGGAGAGAACCAAGAUUGGGCAGGACAAGAGACUGAACUCUGAUAAGGUCAAAACGGAGAUGACAGUUGAUCUCACGGGGAGUUCCAGGGCUGAGGUGGCCUUUCAGGGUAUCACAAAUCGAGGCAAAGGAAUCUGGGCAUUUGCACUCCCCGUAGGAACCAGUCAUUGGAAGUGGGCUACCCCGGGGCGGGGGCGGACUUAGCCUUAGGUGUGGUACUUUCCUUUGGCCCAAGAGAAUUCCUGAGAGCAUGGCGGCACAAGCCAUUAGAACACUUCCAGCAGCUGGGGGCAUGAGUGCCUUAAAGAGUCCUGAAAGAAGGAUCUGAGAACUAUUCCACCGUCUCCAUUAUGGCGCAACACUCAGGCCACUCAGAGGCACUUGCUUCUUGGAAGUGAACACACACGGGAUUCUGGUUAGUCCUCUUGCUUGGAGAAACUUACAGGAGGAAGAUCGGUGAACAAAUUACAGAUCGCUCUCGACAGCAGCUUUUCGCGGUGCUGCAACGGAUACUUAAUGGCCACACUUCUACCAUCCCAUCCUCGAUUCCCUUCACCCGUGACUACGACCUCUGCUGGACUUGGAGGGCUGGUCUGGAUCCUCAGCCCUGAGGAGUCUGAACAUCUGGCCAACAGGCCCUUCUCAGGAUACAACUGCUACAUUUAUUUAUCAAAAACAAACAAAAACCUGGGGUAAGAGACAUGCCAAAGGAUUGCCUGAGUGCCAAAUGUCCUCUGCCCUUACUGUGUAACAGAAGCCCCGCGUCAGCUGGCAUAGGGUUACCUAUGCAGUCAUAAAGCUCCAUGAGACCCUUACUUUGCUGGUAAAAAGCCCUCUGGUCACUCGGGCUUUUAGGCUAAUUAUUUUUGUGAUUUCCUCCCAAGAGUCCCCUGACCUACCUUAUAUGAAGAACACGUGUGAAGGCAACUGUUCUAGACUAUGGGUGGGAGCAUCAGUGCUUUGACAAUACCCAGAUGGUACAGCGGCUGCUACAAUUCAGGGGUAGGGAUGUUAAUAGAACCCUGGCCUUACCCGCUACUGGGUACCAACGACUUCUUGUGGUUUUCCUCCAUCCUGUCCACAACUCUGGCGAUUCCAAGGAACAAAUCAAAGCACACCUGGUGGAGGGUCCAAAACAUCACUACGAGUAGAGAAAUAAAAUAACCAAAGUCACAACAACAGAGAGCAAGUAACACUCUCCAAAAAACACCUCCUGAAGGGCCAGGCCCUGGACAGUGUAUGACCCCCCACCACCCUCCCUUUAAUAUAGCGGUGCUUGCAGGUACAAAGCACACAGCAAGCUUUUAAAACUCAUCAGGGACAGAAAACUAGCCAAAAUGAUGAAACGGAAGAAUUCUCCACAAAAGAAAUUCCAGGAAGGAGUGACAGCUAACAAAUUGAUCAAAACCAACUUAAGCAAUAUAACUGAGCAAGAGUUGAGAAUAGUCAUAAAACUAAUUGCUAGGCUUGAACAAAGCAUAGAGGACAGCAGAGAAUCUAUUGCUAGAGAGAUCAAGGGACUAAGAAAUAGUCAUGAGGAACAAAAAAUGUUGUAAGUGAGGUGCAAAAUAAAAUGAAGACAGCCAAAGCACAGAUUGAAGAGGCAGAGGGGAGAAUAGGUGAAUUAGAAGAUAAAAUUAUGGAAAAAGAGGAAGCUGAGAAAAAGAUAAAAAAAUCCAUGAGUAUGAGGGGAGAGUUAGGGAAUUAAGUGAUGCAAUCAAAUGGAACAAUAUCCAUAUCAUAGGAAUUCCAGAAGAAGAAGAGAGAGAA